Molecule: long non-coding RNA, 2083 nt
Filed under: Homo sapiens (human)
Lineage: Eukaryota; Metazoa; Chordata; Mammalia; Primates; Hominidae
Description: HSALNT0034887
Source: RNAcentral
CAGGGGAAUAGAAUGCUGCACAAGAAUCCCUCUACAGCAGUGGCUUUCACCUUGGACACACAUAAGAAACCCUUGCCCAGCUCUACAAAUAUAUGCAGAAGUUGCAGCUCUGAGAUUCCGAGAAUUUCACUGAGAACUGAGCAUUUGAAUGAAGAUGCAAACCUGGGAGAAUCUGGGUUGAAGAGGUGCUAAAUUGAGCAGAAACCAGCAGGGUGGCAGAGCCUGGAAGAAAGGGACUAACGCAUCCCCAUCAUCACAGACUCAUAUUGGGAUUGCCUAUCUCCAAUAGGAGGAAGAAGAGACUGUACUCUGUGACCUUCUGUGAAGGGACUCAGUGAUCUCCAGUACAUUGACCCACUGGAUACUUAAUAACUCCUAACCCUCCUUCAAAAAGCAUCUCAGGUUUCUCCAUCUCUAAGAAAUCAUUCCUGAAAGUACAGCAUGCAUUGGAUAUCUUUAGUGCUUGGCCACAUUAUCCUGCAGUUGAUGACUUCAUUACUAGACUGUCUUCCCUACAAGGAUAGAAGUUGCAGGUCAAGUCCAAUCACUUAUCAAACUGGAUGUCUUCUAUACCUGACAUGGUGCCUGGACACAGAAGAGCCUAAUUGUUGAAUGAAUGAAUAAAAUGCUUAAAUAAACAAAUGGCUCAAUCACUUCAUCAUCAGUCAAUCUACUGCUCCCCAAGGUCUCUGACUAAAUUCUCUGUUAGUGGAAACUUACCCUGGGACAUUUAUAAGGAACUUGGAGAGCCAGCUGAAUCAAAUACAAUCAAAUUACUAAUCAAUUAAUUCACUUCUCUGUUCUCUAAAAUUAGGAGCAUGUGAAUGAAUAUGUAUGAACAUGUGUAAUUAUAGACACUUAUGCACAUAAAUUACUGGCAGGGCUCCUCGUGUUAUGUUCACAGGAGCAAGAUGUUUAUUUUCACCUGUCUUCAUUGUAGAGCUGCUUCUGGAGCAUCCUACUCGAAAGCAAAGUGGCUAAACACCCCCCCAAUUUUAUGACUUAUUCAUUGCUUGUUCUUUGAUAUUCUGCUCUAAAAAACAUCAGAAUUCUCCAGUGACAUUCCUAGGUGGGAUAGACUUAUGGGAUAAGAGGAGAUGAAAUGUGAUAUUGCUGGCUUUGAAAGUUUUUUCAUAUCCCCAGGAAGUUUAGUGUUCCUCUCAUCGGUCUUCUUUUCAAAGGAUUAGUUGGUGGUACUUACCAAGUUCUCCAUUCCUUUGGUUUUUAAAAAGAAGAAAGACAUUUUUUUCCUUGUGUUAUCAUGUGGAGAGGCUGAAAUUAGUCAAUUCUAUUUCUAAAAAAGCUCUCAAGACACUCACAUCAUGUGUUAAACCUCAAUGUGGGUCGUUCACUGUGGUUCUGCGUUCAUGUUUGUUGUAGUCCCCUGACCACGAGCAAGAUUAUAGGCAAAUCUAUCAGACUGAUGGUAAGAGUCUCUGCAAACUCUAUGUCUUAAAUGUCGGGGAAGGAUGUCUGUAAAACCUUUGUGGGAAACAAUAAUGUGAAAAGAACAAGCUUUUGAAACUAAAAAAAAAAGAAAAUACUUGUUCAAAUAUCAGCUCCAAUAUUUACUAGUUGUAUAAACUUGAGCAAAUUAAUUAAUUUUCUGAGCCUCUGCCUUCUAAUCUAUAAUAAGUAAUAAGUAUUUCAUAAACUGGCUAAAAGAUUAAACACAAUAGCACAAGUAAAACAUGCUUUUGCUUUUAAAGAUCUAGCAAAAUGCCUGAUAUUUAGUGAGCAACUAGUGAUUGUCUUUUCCUCUAUCUCAGGUGAUGGCUAUACUAAUAGGGAGUUGUUCAAUGGGUACAAAGUUCAAGUUAUGCUAGAUAAAUAAAUUAUAGACACAUUAUGCAUUAUGGUGCCUGUAGUUAAUAUAGUAUUGUAAUCAUCAAAAAUUGUUAGAAAAUAGAUUUCAUAUUGUAUUUUUAACACACACAGAAAAAGAAAUUCUAGAAGGUGAUGGACAUGUUUAUUGUCUUGAUUGUUAUUAUGGUAUCACAGGUAUUUGCAUAUGUUUAAACUCAAAAAAAAAUAUGCACAUUAAAUAUGUGAAGUUUUUAUAUCAAUUAUACCUCAAUAAAGC